CGAACGGGUGAGUAACACGUGAGUAACCUGCCCCUGACUCUGGGAUAAGCCCGGGAAACUGGGUCUAAUACCGGAUAUGACACAUGUCGGCAUCGAUGGUGUGUGGAAAGUUUUUUCGGUUGGGGAUGGACUCGCGGCCUAUCAGCUUGUUGGUGGGGUAAUGGCCUACCAAGGCGACGACGGGUAGCCGGCCUGAGAGGGCGACCGGCCACACUGGGACUGAGACACGGCCCAGACUCCUACGGGAGGCAGCAGUGGGGAAUAUUGCGCAAUGGGCGAAAGCCUGACGCAGCGACGCCGCGUGGGGGAUGACGGCCUUCGGGUUGUAAACCUCUUUCAGCAGGGACGAAGUUGACGUGUACCUGCAGAAGAAGCGCCGGCUAACUACGUGCCAGCAGCCGCGGUAAUACGUAGGGCGCAAGCGUUGUCCGGAAUUAUUGGGCGUAAAGAGCUCGUAGGUGGCUUGUCACGUCGGGUGUGAAAGCUUGGGGCUUAACUCCAGGUCUGCAUUCGAUACGGGCUGGCUAGAGGUAGGUAGGGGAGAACGGAAUUCCUGGUGUAGCGGUGAAAUGCGCAGAUAUCAGGAGGAACACCGGUGGCGAAGGCGGUUCUCUGGGCCUUACCUGACGCUGAGGAGCGAA
Molecule: ribosomal RNA, 641 nt
Filed under: Streptosporangium sp. I11A-00471
Lineage: Bacteria; Bacillati; Actinomycetota; Actinomycetes; Streptosporangiales; Streptosporangiaceae
Description: bacterial SSU rRNA
Rfam family: Bacterial small subunit ribosomal RNA
Source: RNAcentral